CCCUGUCCAAAGGCUCGCUGAGAAAAACCCAUCGUCUUCCUUCUCCAAUGGCUCGCUGAGAAAAAACCCUUGUCUUCCCUCUUUGUAGGCCACCCCAUCUCUAAAGGGAACUGCUUGCUGCCAAUUAUAGCUCAUUCCUACACCUGCUCGAGCUUCCAAUAACGCAUCAAACUUGCCCAUGCCAUCCAAGUAAACCAGAUUGACAUUUUGCUCAAGGGGAGUUCAUAGACCUAGAGACAUAACAUGUUCAAAGACCAACUCGUUUCAGAGGUUGUGACCUUUAGCUAUCUAUAAUUGAAUCCGAAUGCCCAUUGAUGCUGACACCAACUCCAAAUUUCUCAAGAGACGCACUCAAUUGUGUUAAUGGAAGGAAGGAGCCCUCCCUGCCUCACGCUCUCUCCAUCACUCUCCCUCAUGCAGAAGCAGAAGCAGCAGUAGCAGAGCCCUCUCCAUCGUCGCAGAAGCAGCAGCAGCAGAGCGCUCUCUCGCUCAAAUAUAGGGCUUCUAUUAUAUUCUCAACUAGGUAUAGGAAGCUCUAUUUUUUUUAGGGUUUAUUUUGAUGAUCUAUUUGUUGUGCUCUCUUUUGAUUUUUGAGCUUUUACUGUGAUAAUGAUUUCAUUGGUGCGUUUCUUAGGGUUCCGUAUGAGUUUUGCAUUUUGGGUUUUAUUGAGAUCCUUUAUUUCAUCACCAUUACGGUAAUGUGUGCUAGCUGCAGACUUUUUUUUUUUUAUCCAUUGCAAAUGAUCCCAUCCUAUUGAUCAACGCAUGAAAGGAAAAUGCAUUUUUAUGUACUUCGCUCCCAUUUCUCUUACAACUCCUCAUUCUUAUAUUAUUUUGAAAUACUCAUUAAACUUAACAUUGGUAUGCAUUAAGCGAAUAUUUGAUCCUUUCUAAGUGCACUGGUUGAUUUAUCUGGUAGGGACCUUCAAAAGCCUAUUAAUAAGAAAGAUUAGGAGAGCUCUAUAUGUUAUCAUUUCAAAGUUAUUGAUUCAUAUAAUGACUCUCGAGAUAUUAUCGGAAUUCUGUGAAACUUGAAACCAAACACCAAGCUAUAAGGAUGAAGAGUGGAGGAUGAACUGACUUAGCAUCCACUGAGUUGGUUUCACUUCCGUAGAUGGCACAAAUUUGCAUAGAACCAUAAUCAACUUUAUGUAGUAUUGAGAUAUCUGUCCCGUCGUUUCAAGGCCUUGUUUAUUCAGGGAGACAACACAAUGUACAGACAGGUAAGGAUGAUGAAAACUCUCUUAACGGCCAAAGCACUAAUUUUACCAAUGGAGUCCCUAUCUGAACUUUGAAUUGUGGGUUCCUUGGGUGGUAAUUUUCGUUUCUAUGAUGCAUCAUCAUGUAUCUUAGCUGCUUGUAAAUCUAAAUUCCUUUUAAUUGUGUUAAACUUUAAAUCUUUUUGAAUUUCUCCUUAAUUGUGAGUGAGUAUUAUGAGUAAACCGCUACUUUGUGUUGUUAUAUGGUUUAUGAAAUGGAUAUACGUUAAUGUGCAAUGAAUAUACUUUGUUUCCUCUAUGAAAUUGGGAUACCGGUCUAGACAUUUGAACCAGCUAUGAAGUCAUCAACUUCUACAAAAGCCGGAGGAUAUCCACGGCUCACUUGUCCUCGGUGUGACAUACCAUGUACCUUAUGUACAUCAAGCUCCCCAUCCAACCCUGGAAGAAUGUACUAUCGGUAUAUGAACUGCACUUUUUUUCAAUGGUGCUAUGAUUAUAUGAAAGGGAUGAACUACAAUGUCAACUUCAAGCAUUGUAAUGUACAACAAAGAAAUCAGUCACAAGUAUCACAAGAGCAUCUUAUGUUCAAGCCUGAACCGAUCAUUCAACAACAAACUGUUGAUGCCUUAUGGCAUCUGCAACAAUUUCUAUUUUUCUUGUGUGUAACGAAUGCGUUUGUUUUUGUUUUACUUUUAUUGAAAAGUGUUUGAUAUGACUAAGAGUUGGUCUUGCAACUCUUGAAACAA
Molecule: non-coding RNA, 1966 nt
Organism: Amborella trichopoda
Lineage: Eukaryota; Viridiplantae; Streptophyta; Magnoliopsida; Amborellales; Amborellaceae
Source: RefSeq, a predicted model, not a curated record